GGUAGUUAAGCUCUUCAGCGCCGAUGGUAGUCGGGGGCUUCCCCCUGUGAGAGUAGGACGCCGCCAAGC
This 69-nucleotide ribosomal RNA is filed under the name Bacillus atrophaeus. The record is from RNAcentral. Lineage: Bacteria; Bacillati; Bacillota; Bacilli; Caryophanales; Bacillaceae.